GGACCUGACUGCUAUCGGAUUGAUACUAAGCCAUGCGAGUCGUUGUAGCAAUACAAGGCAUACGGCUCAGUAACGCGUAGUCAACCUAACCUAUGGACGGGAAUAACCUCGGGAAACUGAGAAUAAUGCCCGAUAGAACAUUAUGCCUGGAAUGGUUUAUGUUCCAAAUGAUUUAUCGCCAUAGGAUGGGACUGCGGCCUAUCAGUUUGUUGGUGAGGUAAUGGCCCACCAAGACUAUUACAGGUACGGGCUCUGAGAGGAGUAGCCCGGAGAUGGGUACUGAGACACGGACCCAGGCCCUAUGGGGCGCAGCAGGCGAGAAAACUUUGCAAUGUGCGAAAGCACGACAAGGUUAAUCCGAGUGAUUUCUGCUAAAGAGAUCUUUUGUUAGUCCUAGAAACACUAACGAAUAAGGGGUGGGCAAGUUCUGGUGUCAGCCGCCGCGGUAAAACCAGCACCUCAAGUGGUCAGGAUGAUUAUUGGGCCUAAAGCAUCCGUAGCCGGCUCUGUAAGUUUUCGGUUAAAUCUGUACGCUCAACGUACAGGCUGCCGGGAAUACUGCAGAACUAGGGAGUGGGAGAGGUAGACGGUACUCGGUAGGAAGUGGUAAAAUGCUUUGAUCUAUCGAUGACCACCUGUGGCGAAGGCGGUCUACCAGAACAUGUCCGACAGUGAGGGAUGAAAGCUGGGGGAGCAAACCGGAUUAGAUACCCGGGUAGUCCCAGCUGUAAACUAUGCAAACUCAGUGAUGCAUUGGCUUGUGGCCAAUGCAGUGCUGCAGGGAAGCCGUUAAGUUUGCCGCCUGGGAAGUACGUACGCAAGUAUGAAACUUA
Molecule: ribosomal RNA, 833 nt
Filed under: uncultured archaeon
Lineage: Archaea
Description: bacterial SSU rRNA
Rfam family: Archaeal small subunit ribosomal RNA
Source: RNAcentral